RNAcentral lists this ribosomal RNA (300 nucleotides) under Thraustochytriidae sp. RNAcentral's name for it is "SSU rRNA". It matches the Rfam family "Eukaryotic small subunit ribosomal RNA", at positions 1308 to 1610 of the family's 1831-position model. The record is from RNAcentral. Lineage: Eukaryota; Bigyra; Thraustochytrida; Thraustochytriidae.
GAAUUGUCUGGUUAAUUCCGUUAACGAACGGUACCACAGCCUACUAAAUGGAGCGCAUUAUGGUAACAUAGUGUGAUACUUCUUAGAGGGACAUUUCGGGUAUACCGGAAGGAAGUUUGUGGCAAUAACAGGUCUGUGAUGCCCUUAGAUGUUCUGGGCCGCACGCGCGCUACACUGACGAAUUCAACGAGCUUUUACUAUAUUUGUAGUAAAUUCCUUUAUCGGAAGAUAUGGGUAAUCUUUAAAUGUUUGUCGUGAUGGGGCUAGAUUCUUGCAAUUAUUAAUCUCCAACGAGGAACC